Humulus lupulus (European hop) is the source of this 634-nucleotide long non-coding RNA. RefSeq lists it as uncharacterized. Lineage: Eukaryota; Viridiplantae; Streptophyta; Magnoliopsida; Rosales; Cannabaceae. The transcript has 3 exons. The record is from RefSeq and is a predicted model, not a curated record.
AGGAGAGAGAGAGAGAGAGAGAGAGGCAUGAGAGAGAUAGAAGGAGGAGAAGAAAGGAAGAAGAAGGAGGAGGUCUUAGGGUAUUCAAGUGUGAUUAUCACUUGGGUGUUGAUCAAGUUGUGUUCUUGAUUUUACAAUCAAGAGAGGCUCAUUGAAAAGUUGAGGUUUUACUUAGCUUGGACCUGAGGUAAGGAAGUUAGUAGAAUUUAUGAUUGUGAUACUAUGAAUGGUAAGACUGUUGUGUGAAUAAAAAUGUUAUGAAUUAUGAAUGCUAUAAUGUGAUGAUAAGUUGGCUUGUAUGAACGUUGAUAUGAAUGGAUGUUAGCGUGAUGAGCGCGACACAUCAAAAUGGGUUGCUAAGGAUAAGAAGACAUAAUCCGAGUUACUAAGGAUAUGAAGACGUAACUCCAUGGGCGGACGCGCCGAGGUUAUUCAAGGACCAGAGACUCUUGUUUACCUCAAAGGGUGGCAUGGACAAGUUAGCGGGUCAUGUUCACAAGGAAUUGUUUAUGAUUAUGUUAUGAUGUUUGGUGAUGUUUAUGAUUGUGUUAUAAUGUUUUGUUAUGUUAUGAUGAUGUUAUGAUGUUUAUGAUAUGAUGGUGACGUUAUGUUGACAUGAAUAUGUUUAUGUUUA